This 398-nucleotide long non-coding RNA is filed under the name Nicotiana tabacum (common tobacco). Its description in RNAcentral is "long non-coding RNA (NTAB_LNC010250)". The record is from RNAcentral. Lineage: Eukaryota; Viridiplantae; Streptophyta; Magnoliopsida; Solanales; Solanaceae.
CGAGAAAUGUUACAAAAACUCACAAUAUUGAGGUAGUGAGGUCGACUGAUUCGAGGUCCGAAAGACAAUGUUUGGAAAUUGGAAGCCACCUCCAUUGUUAAUAUUACAAUUCAAGUCAUAAACUGCUCAACUAUGUAUAUGCACCAACAGAGACGACAAAUCAUCGGUUAAUAUAGACAUAUCUCAUUGAAAAACUACAAGAAGAAUUUAGAACGGAGAUUUAAUUUACCUGUCGAAUAUUUGGUCGAAGAGGACAGAGCUCUAUCUUUGUACUGAGUAUCGCUAUGAUGAGGAAGGUAUAUUGACUUUAUAUCUCCGGUAAGGUCACGAAAUCGGGAACACGACACUGACACAAAACCUCAGUGGAUUGAAACUGGUAGUUGGGCUUAUGAAAAAGU